RNAcentral lists this transfer RNA (85 nucleotides) under Pseudomonas sp. SWRI51. RNAcentral describes it as "tRNA-Tyr". It matches the Rfam family "tRNA". Rfam says of the family: Transfer RNA (tRNA) molecules are approximately 80 nucleotides in length. Their secondary structure includes four short double-helical elements and three loops (D, anti-codon, and T loops). The record is from RNAcentral. Lineage: Bacteria; Pseudomonadati; Pseudomonadota; Gammaproteobacteria; Pseudomonadales; Pseudomonadaceae. RNAcentral also lists the same sequence under 1 other name.
GGAGGGGUUCCCGAGCGGCCAAAGGGAACGGACUGUAAAUCCGUCGUCUUCGACUUCGAAGGUUCGAAUCCUUCCCCCUCCACCA